UGGAUCAUGCGGUUUAAUUCGAUGAUACGCGGCGAACCUUACCUAGGCUUGACAUAUAGCUGCAAGCCUCUGGAAACAGAGGCCCCUUUCGAAGGUGCUAUACAGGUGUUGCAUGGUUGCCGUCAGCUCGUGCCGUGAGGUGUACCGUUAAGUCGGGUAACGAGCGCAACCCCUAUGCUAUGUUAAAUGUACAUAGCAGACUGCCCGGGCAACCGGGAGGAAGGUGGGGACGACGUCANNGCAACUCGCCUGCAUGAAGUUGGAAUCGCUAGUAAACGCGCAUCAGCCACGGCGCGUUGAAUACGUUCUCGGGUCUUGUACUCACCGCCCGUCAUACCACGAAAGCUGGGGGCACCCGAAGGCUCUUUAGGGGGACGAAGGUGAAUUCAGUAAUCAGGGUAAAGUCGUAACAAGGCAUCCGUAGCGGAAGCUGUGGAUGGAUCACCUCCUUUCUGGAGU
Molecule: ribosomal RNA, 459 nt
Filed under: Candidatus Magasanikiibacteriota bacterium
Lineage: Bacteria; Candidatus Magasanikiibacteriota
Description: bacterial SSU rRNA
Rfam family: Bacterial small subunit ribosomal RNA
Source: RNAcentral